GAAGGUAUAGCUCAGGUGGAAUGUGUGCUUAGCAUACAUGAGGUCCUGGGUUCAAUUCCCAGUACCUCCA
This 70-nucleotide transfer RNA is filed under the name Camelus ferus (Wild Bactrian camel). It matches the Rfam family "tRNA". From Rfam's summary of the family: Transfer RNA (tRNA) molecules are approximately 80 nucleotides in length. Their secondary structure includes four short double-helical elements and three loops (D, anti-codon, and T loops). Further hydrogen bonds mediate the characteristic L-shaped molecular structure. tRNAs have two regions of fundamental functional importance: the anti-codon, which is responsible for specific mRNA codon recognition, and the 3' end, to which the tRNAs corresponding amino acid is attached (by aminoacyl-tRNA synthetases). tRNAs cope with the degeneracy of the genetic code in two manners: having more than one tRNA (with a specific anti-codon) for a particular amino acid; and 'wobble' base-pairing, i.e. permitting non-standard base-pairing at the 3rd anti-codon position. The record is from Rfam by way of RNAcentral. Lineage: Eukaryota; Metazoa; Chordata; Mammalia; Artiodactyla; Camelidae.